RNAcentral lists this unclassified non-coding RNA (289 nucleotides) under uncultured fungus. RNAcentral's name for it is "partial contains 5.8S rRNA, ITS2 and 28S rRNA". It matches the Rfam family "Eukaryotic large subunit ribosomal RNA", at positions 668 to 961 of the family's 3401-position model. Lineage: Eukaryota; Fungi. The record is from RNAcentral.
AAGGAGUCUAACAUGCUUGCGAGUAUUUGGGUGUCAAACCCGGUUGCGUAAUGAAAGUGAAUGGAGGUGGGAACCGCAAGGUGCACCAUCGACCGAUCUGGAUUUUUUAAGAUGGAUUUGAGCAAGAGCACGUAUGUUGGGACCCGAAAGAUGGUGAACUAUGCCUGAGUAGGGCGAAGCCAGAGGAAACUCUGGUGGAGGCUCGUAGCGGUUCUGACGUGCAAAUCGAUCGUCAAAUUUGGGUAUAGGGGCGAAAGACUAAUCGAACCAUCUAGUAGCUGGUUCCUGC